CCUACGGGAGGCAGCAGUAGGGAAUCUUCCACAAUGGACGAAAGUCUGAUGGAGCAACGCCGCGUGUGUGAUGAAGGGUUUCGGCUCGUAAAACACUGUUAUAAGAGAAGAACGUCAGUGAGAGUAACUGUUCAUUGAGUGACGGUAUCUUAUCAGAAAGGGACGGCUAAAUACGUGCCAGCAGCCGCGGUAAUACGUAUGUCCCAAGCGUUAUCCGGAUUUAUUGGGCGUAAAGCGAGCGCAGGCGGUUAUUUAAGUCU
This 260-nucleotide ribosomal RNA is filed under the name uncultured Bacillota bacterium. RNAcentral describes it as "uncultured Firmicutes bacterium partial 16S ribosomal RNA". It matches the Rfam family "Bacterial small subunit ribosomal RNA", at positions 338 to 590 of the family's 1533-position model. The record is from RNAcentral. Lineage: Bacteria; Bacillati; Bacillota.